Molecule: ribosomal RNA, 216 nt
Filed under: Glomeromycotina sp.
Lineage: Eukaryota; Fungi; Glomeromycota
Description: partial small subunit ribosomal RNA
Rfam family: Eukaryotic small subunit ribosomal RNA (bases 40-216)
Source: RNAcentral
GGGUCAGUAGGUUGGUCGUGCCACCGGUACGUACUGGUCUCACUGAUUCCUCCUUCCUGAAGAACCGUAAUGCCAUUAAUUUGGUGUUGCGGGGAAACAGGACUGUUACUUAGAAAAAAUUAGAGUGUUUAAAGCAAGCUAACGCUUGAAUACAUUAGCAUGGAAGAAUGAAAUAGGACGAUCGAUCCUAUUUUGUUGGUUUCUAGCAUUGACGUA